UACGUAGGGGGCGAGCGUUGUCCGGAGUUACUGGGCGUAAAGGGCAUGCAGGCGGUCGGACGCGUUUCGGGUGACAGCGGGUGGCUUAACUACCCGAGUGGUCGAAAGACGGUUUGACUUGAGGACGCGAGAGGGACACGGAAUUCCGGGUGGAGUGGUGAAAUGCGUAGAGAUCCGGAGGAACACCGAAGGCGAAGGCAGUGUCCUGGCGCGCAACUGACGCUGAGGUGCGAAAGCCAGGGGAGCGAACGGG
RNAcentral lists this ribosomal RNA (253 nucleotides) under uncultured bacterium. RNAcentral describes it as "partial 16S ribosomal RNA". It matches the Rfam family "Bacterial small subunit ribosomal RNA", at positions 524 to 776 of the family's 1533-position model. The record is from RNAcentral.